Molecule: long non-coding RNA, 190 nt
Organism: Sapajus apella (tufted capuchin)
Lineage: Eukaryota; Metazoa; Chordata; Mammalia; Primates; Cebidae
Exons: 3
Source: RefSeq, a predicted model, not a curated record
UCAACCAACCAGGGGUAGGAAAUAUUUAAAAGAAAACAAUAAAAAAUCACAAUACAACAAUAAAAAGAGAAAUUAAAAAGAAUACAGUAUAGCAACUAUUUACAUAGCAUUUACAUUGUAUUUGGUAUUGUAAGUCAUCUGGAGGUGAUUUAAAGCAUUGAGAGGGUGUGUGUGGGCUCCGUGCAAAAGC